AGCAGCCGCGGUAAUUCCAGCUCCAAUAGCGUAUAUUAAAGUUGUUGCAGUUAAAAAGCCCGUAGUUGAAUUUCGGGAUCAAAUUGUCGGUCGUGCCUCGGUACGUACUGGCGUUAUUGGUUUCUCCCUUCUGAAGAACCGCGAUGUCAUUAAUUUGGUGUCGCGGGGAAUCAGGACUGUUACUUUGAAAAAAUUAGAGUGUUUAAAAGCAGGCUCGCGCUUGAAUACAUUAGCAUGGAAUAAUGAAAUAGGACGUUUGAUUCUAUUUUGUUGGUUUCUAGGAUCGACGUAAUGAUUAAUAGGGAUAGUUGGGGGCAUUAGUAUUCAAUUGUCAGAGGUGAAAAUUCUUGGAUUUAUUGAAGACUAACUACUGCGAAAGCAAUUUGCCAAGGAUGUUUUCAUUAAUCAAGAACGAAAAGUUAGGGGAUCGAAGACGAAUCAGAUACCGUCGUAGUCUUAACCAUAAACUAUGCCGACUAGGGAUCGGAUGAUGUUAAUUUUUAAUGACUCAUUCGGCGCC
Molecule: ribosomal RNA, 520 nt
Filed under: uncultured Glomus
Lineage: Eukaryota; Fungi; Glomeromycota; Glomeromycetes; Glomerales; Glomeraceae
Description: SSU rRNA
Rfam family: Eukaryotic small subunit ribosomal RNA
Source: RNAcentral